AUAACUCUUAAUAUUAAAAAAAUAAUAAUGUGACAGUUCCUUUGAUGACCAAACGACAACCACAGGAGAAAAAAAAAUCAGGCGAAAAUUGUGGCUCACGAUUUUUUAUUAUAAAUAAAGGACAGAAUUCAAAGAUGAAUAAUAAAUUUCCUGGAAAUUUAUCACAAGUUCUUUCUUUCCAAUUCGAGGCGAAAAGAAUUUUUCCUGGAUUUUCUUAGAAAUUUCUCCUUGAUUUUUUUCCUCCGGGUGAAAGGGUUAAUCCCAAUAAAAAAAUGUAUAUUUUUUUUUCACGAAAAUACAGUUCUGUUAAUAGAUUAAUUACUCUAGGGGCGAGUGAAUUCCCCAAUGAAUUGAGGAUAAAUAGUUCGAAUGAGUGAUUUUAUUCGGAGGGGGAUGUCGCUAUGAAUUCAACCGACUCAUUUCUGAAUUAGUUUUUACUACGAUUGUGAUUUUUUCAAGGUUACCGAUUUAUACGUAAAGUAGAGGCACGAGAAAUAGCCAUUGAAGUAAGAGAUAAUGAGAAUGAGCCGACUCGUGUUUAGUCUUAAGGAGAACAUUUCUCAGGUACAUCUGGCUGAUGAUCCUGUGUCAUUAUUAAACGUGAAUAAAUAAUGAUCAGCGGAAUUCCUGACAGAUGCACCUGCGAUAAUAAAUAAAGCUGAAAAUGCAUCAUACAAUUUUUUUCUUGAUUAAUGAUUUUAGGUAGAAGAAGUAAUAAUUAAUAACGAGAGGGACCAAAAUGAUACUCAAUAUUCGUUGAAUUGCUGCAAGUGCCCAUGCUAUUGGUCAAUUGUUGAUUGAAUAAGCUUCUAGCAUAGUCACGUGUUUAGCCUAGUGGUGACUGUAUAUAUUGUCAAUACUGUAAUAUUUGAAAUAACGAGAAAAAUGUUGGAUGAAAAAUUUAUUCGAUAUUAAAACAACAUACGAAGUUACGUUUUAUUUGUCCUUAAUGCCGUGAAUGGGCUUUUUAAACCUUGAUUAUUGCGGCUGGAUGGCACGAUCAUGAGGGGAAAAAAAGGAGAAGAAGUGCAGGAACGUGCGAGAAAAACACCAAGAGAGUCCGGCUUUCACCUCUCGCUGGAGUGGACGAUCAUCAGGUGGUUGGGUGUUGGUUUUUAGUCUCCACCUUCUAUUGCUAAUUUUAUCAGGAUAAAUCAACAGAGAACUGGGUUAACAAUUCAAAAAUCAAGGGAAAGGUAACGCAUUUUGAUAGUGAAUGACCUAUCUUCCGAACUAAUAGUUAAUUGAUCAAAUAAUCGGGAAUACAAAUAUCGAAUGACAUGACCGACUUCAAAAUUAAAUAAAUGGCCUCCAACAAUUAAUGUGAGAACCGGAGAAUUUUUUACUUGGUCAAGUGAGGGUCAUAGGUGUGUGAGAACCGGAACACUGGACGACAGCGAAAGACGUGACCGAGUAGACAAAUUAUGUGUAAAGAUGCUCCACGAGUUCCGGACAAAGAGACCCCUUUGAAAAUAAUAAUGCCCAAAAGAUCCUCUCCCUACAUUUUUACGGAAAGUAAUUAAGCUCCAGCUCUCGUGAAUUCCAUGUUUUUCAUUUCGUUUAAUCCUGGGAAUUUGAAAGUAAUACGAAACCCCCGGAUUAAUCUGCUCAUCACGUGCCAAAGUUGGGAUGAAGGACGGGGAUAAAAAAAAAAUGAAGCAGGGCGGGUAACAGCAUGAGAAUUUACUCCAGCGAUGGUACUGGGCUCUCUUGGCCUCAGUAAGGACAUGACUUUGACCCACAUUCAGGUAUAAACUGUGUCGCUACGUUUACAUGGGAUGCAAUUCACCUACAACGUGCUGCAGACAUGAGAUGAAAAGGGAAUUGUUGAAUUUUUUUUUUUCAUCUGGAAUUUAUUCUGCUCUCGAUUGCAAUUGCUCUUUAAACCAUCAACCGCAUGGAAUGAAGGGAAAUUGCUAGCAUUCUACUCCCAGUUUCACUACUUGCGCUGAUGAUUGUUUUUAGUUUAUGUUUAUUGUCUCCUGUCGCGCGGUUAAAUUCCCUUUAUUUAUUUUACUAUUUUGCCAUCGCAUUUUUCUCCACAAUGAAAGCAAUGGAAUCUUUCCAAUUCAGGUGUUGGAUUUUUUCAGUUGAUUGUCCUAUGAUAAGGGAAAAAAAUGUUCUAAAAUGAAUGAGUUAAAAAGUUCAAAUAUUUAUUAGCAUAAUGAGAAGAAUUCGAAUUCAAUUCAAUACAAUACAUAAUGAAUUAUUCAUGGUGGAAGAAAACGAUGUGCAAAAUAACCAUUCCGAAGUAUAUUACUGAUUUAUUAGCAAAAAUAAGUCGUCCACAGGGAAUACAGCAGCAAUUUCCCACUUGUCUCAUAUUGUAGCGAACCGGUGGAAUGGUUUAUGGAGACUGGAGAUAGCCAUAUCCAUAAAUUAGAAUUAUUAUUGAUUUUUGAAGUUGCCAGGUCGUUAGUACAACUAUUAAUUUUUUUAAUAUUACCGUCUACCUACGCAUGUCAAUUAAUCUUAUUAUUUGACUGAAAAUCAAUUGUGCAGUAGUCAAUCUAAUUAAGUAGCAGAAAUAAUCAAGUUAUUCCGAAGGGGUCAUCUCCUGACAUUCAAUGAAGUUUAUUUCCCUCGCAUAAAAUGCUCAACACGAUUCCCACAAGAAACCGGAAAAAGGUGUUGACCAUUAACUUAAUUAACCACUGGACACCAUAAAAAUUCUCUUAACGAUGAUGAUAUUAAAACAAAACCGGCGGAUCAGGGUUCAUUUCGCGUAGCGGAAGAGGAAUACCCAGGAAGAAAAAUAACUGUUUCUUCAUUAAUUAUUUUUUAACAGGAAUAUGAAUUUUCGAAAAAUUUCAGAAAAUUUGCCUUGAGGAUCGAGAUCAAGGCCUAGAUAUUCCAUGCAAACGCAAUGGAACAAUAAUAUGGACUAGAGGAAGUGUAAAAAAUAACCCGAAGUCCAUCAAUCCCCCAUAAACAGGAUAAAAACACUUUAUUGUCAUUUUUUUUUAUACACAAUGUUAUUUUUCCUUGGAAUAAGCAAAUGAGAACGCAGACGUUAUCUGCGUUAACGAGGACUUGAAAUUAGAGGCAGCUGGCUGAGCGCAACCUUGUAGAUGAUGAGACAGAAGCGAUGCAGCCUCGCGGGUAUGAAUCAUCCAACAAUUGUCCGGUCAAUUCGAAUGUUCACCAGCCAUGGCGAUGAGGACUCAUGCCACUGCCGAAUUAGUCCAGCUGUCGUGUUCUUUAUUUUUUUUCCCCCCAAUCCAGGAACGGACCUCAAGGUGAGAGAGGAGCCUGUCUCGGCGACAUUGGGCUGCACAAGGUAAAGUACAGUGAUAAUGAUGCCACGUAUUUUAUUUUUUUUUAUUCAUUCUCUCCUCACGAAUAUGGAGAGGAGUGGAGGAACCUGUUUGGAACGCAACCGCAGGGACUUGUUGAUGAGUAUCAUUGUAAUAUGAUGAACGCAAAAUCAAUGAUAAUGGGAAUUAUGAGUCAGGAAGUUGGGGGGGAAAAAUGGUGCUAUUGAGUCACCUGUUGCGGAUAGAUGGGCCGGGC
This is a long non-coding RNA of Diachasmimorpha longicaudata, 3513 nucleotides long. RefSeq lists it as uncharacterized. NCBI's taxonomy places the organism in Eukaryota, Metazoa, Arthropoda, Insecta, Hymenoptera, Braconidae. The record is from RefSeq and is a predicted model, not a curated record. The transcript has 3 exons.